CUGAAGAGAAGAAGUUCGGUGGAGGCGGAAGUUUGUACAUUAGCACCAACGUGGUGGACAACGGUGGUGUGUGUGAGAGUGUCAGGGAUAGAAACGGGUUUAUAUUAACCUAAAAGUGUCGCGUUUUGUGCUUAUUUACAGGAUCCACCACGAUUUGUAGCUAGCUAGCUCACUUCUCUUUUUUUAGCGUGAUUUUAAAAAGGUUUUGUUAGCUUAGCACUUAAACUACACGUGGAUGGUGUUAUUCAUAAAUUAGAUUAUCUGAAGAAGGACCUCCAGUGACUGAAGCACGUGGACCUGUCUGCCUAGUUCACCUGCAGAGAGAGGACAACAGAGAUCAGAAGACUCCACAACAUUUGCAUAUUCAUCAUCUGACUGUUUUGGCUUUGUACUGUAAAUAAGUUCUUCAAUAAACACAGUUUGUAUACCUGGUAUAUUCACCACCUGACACAGUGUGUGUUUUAUAUGUUGGAACAGUGUUGAAUAAACUGUGUUUACAGUUGUAGUCUAUUGUUAGUUACAUUAUACCUUUCACAUUAGUGCAUUGUUGGACUCAGUGUUUUUUCUUCUUCUUAAAAACCAUCAGCAUCUUCAAAAAUACAAGUUAACAGUAAUCCAAUGUUUUCAAUACAG
Molecule: long non-coding RNA, 633 nt
Organism: Parambassis ranga (Indian glassy fish)
Lineage: Eukaryota; Metazoa; Chordata; Actinopteri; Ambassidae
Source: Ensembl